GUCUUAACCGGGCGUUAAGUUGCAGGGUAUAGACCCGAAACCCGGUGAUCUAGCCAUGGGCAGGUUGAAGGUUGGGUAACACUAACUGGAGGACCGAACCGACUAAUGUUGAAAAAUUAGCGGAUGACCUGUGGCUGGGGGUGAAAGGCCAAUCAAACCGGGAGAUAGCUGGUUCUCCCCGAAAGCUAUUUAGGUAGCGCCUCGUGAAUUCAUCUCCGGGGGUAGAGCACUGUUUCGGCUAGGGGGCCAUCCCGGCUUACCAACCCGAUGCAAACUGCGAAUACCGGAGAAUGUUAUCACGGGAGACACACGGCGGGUGCUAACGUCCGUCGUGAAGAGGGAAACAACCCAGACCGCCAGCUAAGGUCCCAAAGUCAUGGUUAAGUGGGAAACGAUGUGGGAAGGCCCAGACAGCCAGGAUGUUGGCUUAGAAGCAGCCAUCAUUUAAAGAAAGCGUAAUAGCUCACUGGUCGAGUCGGCCUGCGCGGAAGAUGUAACGGGGCUAAACCAUGCACCGAAGCUGCGGCAGCGACACUCAGGUGUUGUUGGGUAGGGGAGCGUUCUGUAAGCCUGCGAAGGUGGCCUGUGAGGGUUGCUGGAGGUAUCAGAAGUGCGAAUGCUGACAUAAGUAACGAUAAAGCGGGUGAAAAGCCCGCUCGCCGGAAGACCAAGGGUUCCUGUCCAACGUUAAUCGGGGCAGGGUGAGUCGACCCCUAAGGCGAGGCCGAAAGGCGUAGUCGAUGGGAAACGGGUUAAUAUUCCCGUACUUGGUGUUACUGCGAAGGGGGGACGGAGAAGGCUAUGUUGGCCGGGCGACGGUUGUCCCGGUUUAAGCGUGUAGGUGUGUGUUCCAGGUAAAUCCGGUU
RNAcentral lists this ribosomal RNA (866 nucleotides) under Salmonella enterica subsp. enterica serovar Newport. RNAcentral's name for it is "partial 23S ribosomal RNA". It matches the Rfam family "Bacterial large subunit ribosomal RNA", at positions 681 to 1547 of the family's 2925-position model. Lineage: Bacteria; Pseudomonadati; Pseudomonadota; Gammaproteobacteria; Enterobacterales; Enterobacteriaceae. The record is from RNAcentral.